UACAGAGGGGGCAAGCGUUAUUCGGAAUUAUUGGGCGUAAAGGGCGCGUAGGCGGCCUGGCAAGUGGAAGGUGAAAUCCCUCGGCUUAACCGAGGAACUGCCCCUCCAAACUGCUUGGCUUGAGUCCGGGAGAGGUGAGUGGAAUUCCCAGUGUAGCGGUGAAAUGCGUAGAUAUUGGGAGGAACACCAGUGGCGAAGGCGGCUCACUGGACCGGAACUGACGCUGAGGCGCGAAAGCGUGGGGAGCAAACGGG
This 254-nucleotide ribosomal RNA is filed under the name uncultured bacterium. RNAcentral's name for it is "partial 16S ribosomal RNA". It matches the Rfam family "Bacterial small subunit ribosomal RNA", at positions 524 to 776 of the family's 1533-position model. The record is from RNAcentral.